UGGGGAAUAUUGGGCAAUGGGCGCAAGCCUGACCCAGCAACGCCGCGUGAAGGAAGAAGGUCUUCGGAUUGUAAACAUCUGUCCUAUGGGAAGAAAAAAAUGACGGUACCAUAGGAGGAAGCCCCGGCUAACUACGUGCCAGCAGCCGCGGUAAUACGUAGGGGGCAAGCGUUGUCCGGAAUUACUGGGCGUAAAGGGUGCGCAGGCGGCAUUUUAAGUCAGAUGUGAAAUACCCGGGCUUAACCCGGGGGGUGCAUUUGAAACUGGAAUACUUGAGUGCAGGAGAGGAAAGUGGAAUUCCUAGUGUAGCGGUGAAAUGCGUAGAUAUUAGGAGGAACACCAGUGGCGAAGGCGACUUUCUGGACUGUAACUGACGCUGAGGCACGAAAGCGUGGGGAGCAAACA
RNAcentral lists this ribosomal RNA (405 nucleotides) under uncultured prokaryote. RNAcentral's name for it is "bacterial SSU rRNA". It matches the Rfam family "Bacterial small subunit ribosomal RNA", at positions 355 to 774 of the family's 1533-position model. The record is from RNAcentral.